Molecule: long non-coding RNA, 351 nt
Filed under: Nicotiana benthamiana
Lineage: Eukaryota; Viridiplantae; Streptophyta; Magnoliopsida; Solanales; Solanaceae
Description: long non-coding RNA (NBEN_LNC034195)
Source: RNAcentral
CCAUGCAUUGACGAAAGGAUGACCUGCAGCUACAUGACACCACCAAGUUGGUCCAACCGGGCGUUCCCAGUAUGGAGCUGCAACAUCUGCUACAGUGACAUCAUCUUCCUCAUCGGUAAGCUCAAGAGGCUGAGAGCCCCAAUCAGUAUCAACAUGCACUGUCUGAAGCAGCUCAGAUAUUCUAGCCCAGCCUAUUGGUAUCCAGUAAAAGCUCAAGAGGCUGAGAGGCCCAAUCAGUAUCAACAUGCACUGUCUGAAGCAGCUCAGAUAUUCUAGCCCAGCCUAUUGGUAUCCAGUAAUUACCAGAAGAUCUUUCUCGGGGAUUGUAAGGAUAAUCUUGUUGAUAACCUU